This 95-nucleotide microRNA precursor is filed under the name Marmota monax (woodchuck). The record is from RNAcentral. Lineage: Eukaryota; Metazoa; Chordata; Mammalia; Rodentia; Sciuridae.
AGUAGAACUACUAGGUCAUAUGUAAAUUUAACUUUAUAAGAAACUUCCAAACUUUUCUAAAGUAGCUGCAAUAUUUUGUGUUUGCAACUGGCAGU